AUGUCUUCUCGUAGUGAGGUUUUAUCUAUAUACAAAAAAAUUGCUGCCAUGGUUCAUACCCAAUUUUCCACUCCUAUUCGUGUUUUUCGCGCAGAUUCAGCCGGUGAGUAUAUCUCUCAUGCGCUGCGAGGAUUUCUUGCUGAGCAGGGUACUCUUACUCAGUUCUCUUGCCCUGGUGCUCAUGCUCAGAAUGGUGUGGCUGAGCGCAAGCAUCGUCACCUUCUUGAGACGGCGCGUGCGAUGAUGAUCGCCGCCUCUCUUCCGCCUCACUUUUGGGCUGAGGCUGUUACCACUUCCACCUAUCUCAUCAACAUUCAACCUUCUACUGCUCUACAGGGUGAUAUUCCUCUCGAGCGUCUUUCUGGUCAUCCUCCUGAUUAUUCAGCGCUUUGUUUGUUUGGUUGCGUUUGCUAUGUUUUGCUUGCCCCUCGUGAACGCACCAAACUGACCGCUCGGUCUGUUGAGUGUGUCUUUCUUGGAUACAGUGAUGAGCAUAAGGGCUAUCGGCGUUGGGAUCCUGUCGGUCGCCGGAUGCGUAUUUCCCGGGAUGUGACUUUUGAUGAGUCUUGUCCCUUCUACCCGCGUCCAUCCUCCCCGGCUUUUUCAGCGGAGGACAUCUCUGUGCUUACGUUUUUGGAUACACCUCCCUCUGUGCCUAGUAUUCCUAUUCCCCGGCCUGCUGUAGCAGAUCCGACGAUGUCCUCUGAUACAGAUUCUUCUCCUCCCUCACCGCAUGACUCUCCACCUUCAUCACCAUCUCCCCCUUCUCUACCUUCAUCAUCGAUACCUUCCCCUUCUCCACCUUCGUCACCGAUACAUUCCUCGUCUCCACCUCCAGUGAUUCCACCUCUUCCCUCCUUUCCUUUCCAUUACACUCGUCGUCCACGUGUUGUGGAUAAAUCUACUGACGUGCCAUCUACUUCUGGUGCAUCGUCCUCCUCAUCCCGGCCGACUUAUGGUCUUCGGGCUCGGCCUCGCCCUCCCCCUGACCGCUAUUCUCCUAGUCGAUAUGGCCUUUCGGCUGUACUUGAGCCUACCUCUUAUCGCGAUGCUAUUGUUCAUCCUGAAUGGCAGUUUGCGAUGGCAGAGGAGCUUGCUGCUCUUGAGCGCACUGGCACGUGGGAGUCUUGUCUAUCUUGCUGUCACUCGUUCGGAUAUCUCCUAUCCCGUUCAUAUCUUGAGUCAGUUUGUUUCUUCUCCCACUUCGGUACACUAUAG
This 1218-nucleotide ribosomal RNA is filed under the name Triticum aestivum (bread wheat). Its description in RNAcentral is "partial small subunit ribosomal RNA". The record is from RNAcentral. Lineage: Eukaryota; Viridiplantae; Streptophyta; Magnoliopsida; Poales; Poaceae.